ACAAACACACCGCUACAAUCAUACAAACAUACUCCAUACAAACACAUGCUUACAGUCAAACACACAAAUACUGCUCCAUGCUAAAUACAAUCCUGCAAGCAUGGGGAAUCGGUAGAGCCCCAGCUUUCAAAGCAUUGUUGAAGUUGCACAACAGAUGGGGAUCUAUCUUUUAGCCAUCCUGUGUACAUACACAGACCGUCAUACAGAGACAUACAGUAUGUAUGUCUCUGUAUGACUGUGUAAAUGUAUUCAAAAGGAAUAAACGCAGGCAAC
Pelobates cultripes (western spadefoot toad) is the source of this 273-nucleotide non-coding RNA. NCBI's taxonomy places the organism in Eukaryota, Metazoa, Chordata, Amphibia, Anura, Pelobatidae. The record is from the annotation of a GenBank genome assembly.